CCUAGGCCUGGCGCCCGGGCCCGCUGCGGCUGCGGCCCCGGCCCCGCUGAGGGCGGGCGGGGCUCCGCAGGCAGCGGGGCUGCACGCCGAGAUAAGCAGCAAAGACGACCAGGACGCCCUGUCCUUCGCGGAGGCCGCGGCAAAACAGCGGCCCAGGUGUCAGGUGGAAAGGAGAGGUUUUUCUGAAAUCCUUUAAUAAUUGAUUAGUCUGUCGGCGCCCUUGAAGGGUCAAGUCAACAGGUUACGGAAUAACAAUGUUUAUUGAUUUAGAGUGUUAAGGGAUUGGAAUGGAGCUUAAAGAUCGUCUAGUCCCACCGUUUGCCGUGGGCAGGGACACCUCCCACUAGACCAGUUCCUGAUGAAGAGUCUGUCUCCAGCUUCCCUGUAGGCCCCCUCCAGAUACUGGAAGGUUGCCAUGAGAUCUCCAGACAACCUUCUCAGCCUGUGUUUGUAAGGGUGGUGGCUGCAGUCCUAUCAACUUAGUGCAGAGGAGGCCACACACUCCCGCAGUUCCAUGUCCUGGAUGCAGUGUUGAGGUCUCACCAGAGCAGAGCAAAGGGACAGAAUCCCCUCCCUGGCCCUGCUGCUGUGGAUGCAGCCUAGAAUUCUGACACGUUAAGGUUCAAGGAUUGAUGGUGAUAGUAGCUGACUGCAAAAACAUAUUCAAAGCAAUAUAUUAAUUCAAAGCAAUAUACUAAAAAGCUCUAAUCCCUAACAAAA
Long non-coding RNA from Corvus hawaiiensis (hawaiian crow), 720 nucleotides. RefSeq lists it as uncharacterized. Lineage: Eukaryota; Metazoa; Chordata; Aves; Passeriformes; Corvidae. The transcript is spliced from 2 exons. The record is from RefSeq and is a predicted model, not a curated record.